Long non-coding RNA from Mercurialis annua (annual mercury), 486 nucleotides. RefSeq lists it as uncharacterized. The transcript has 3 exons. NCBI's taxonomy places the organism in Eukaryota, Viridiplantae, Streptophyta, Magnoliopsida, Malpighiales, Euphorbiaceae. The record is from RefSeq and is a predicted model, not a curated record.
UUUUCUAAACAAAACCCUAAUUUUAAUGAGAUGUAUUUAAAGAAGGCUAGUGCUUUCUUCGAAGAAAACAAAAGAAUAAAAAAAACAACAUAAAAGAAUGAAUGUAGCCGUCAAAAUAUGGAAAACACAAAGUUAUUAUUAGCUAAAAUUAUAAUUUGAAAAAGGGACAAGAAUGAAGCUUUUUAAAGACCCGUCGACUGCUCGUGCUUCGGAGUCUACGGAGGGUUAGCUGUUUGCCAAGAUCACGUGGAUAAGCAAGCAGUUUAUGAUUUGAGAGCUGGUCCACUCCGAUUCUUUUGAUUCCUCGGAGGUUUUUAUGUUAUUAAACUAGUUUCUAUUUUUCGAACUCUUAGACCGCAGUAGAACUAGUUUAUACAUUACUUAUUAUUGUACUUUGGGAUUGUCGAUUGAGCGACUAUUUAUAUUUGCCAUGUUCACUCUGGAAUAUUAUUUAUUUAUAUAUAAGGCAUGCUGUUGAACCUUUCA